GGGGGGUGCAAGCGUUGUUCGGAUUUAUUGGGCGUAAAGCGCGUGUAGGCGGUUUUAUAAGUCUGAUGUGAAAGCCCUGGGCUCAACCCGGGAAGUGCAUUGGAUACUGUAAGACUUGAAUACGGGAGAGGGCAGUGGAAUUCCUAGUGUAGGAGUGAAAUCCGUAGAUAUUAGGAGGAACACCGGUGGCGAAGGCGGCUGCCUGGACCGAUAUUGACGCUGAGACGCGAAAGCGUGGGUAGCAAACAGGAUUAGAUACCCUGGUAGUCCACGCCGUAAACGAUGAGAACUAGGUGUUGCGGGUAUUGACCCCUGCAGUGCCGUAGCUAACGCAUUAAGUUCUCCGCCUGGGAAGUAUGGUCGCAAGACU
Molecule: ribosomal RNA, 370 nt
Filed under: uncultured bacterium
Lineage: Bacteria
Description: bacterial SSU rRNA
Rfam family: Bacterial small subunit ribosomal RNA
Source: RNAcentral